GUUAGCCGCUGUCCAUGUUUACCACACGGACAUUUGUUGCAGACGGACGCACUGUUGGACCAGUGGAAAAGCAUUGCCAAAAACGACAGAUUAGCGGCCAAGAAGGAGCGAGCCCGAGACUCCCAAGGCUCAGCGGGUACUCGGCUUGACGUCCCGACCUGAAGCUGGGGCGCUCGCUGACCCUGUAAUGGCAUCUGUGCAACCGCCACAAGACUCAACGUGAGCGCGAGGUGAGUCCGAGAGACGCGAGGGAUCAAGACCCCCCCCGAGUCGAGCGGCAUGCAGAGUGGGGGAACGAACAGGGUGCCUAAUUGACGGCCCUUUAAAAUUCCCGCAGACGAGCGAUGGUGCUUUUCAUGUGGGGGCCGCUCCAAUAGAGAAGAGUGACGAGUGACAAGGAGGUGAGGAGCACACAGGAGACCUGCUGCACAUACUGGAUGAUUCGGGCGGGGCGGGGGAACAUGUACAAUAACUUACGAUGGCGAUAAAAAAAAUUCUCCUUUUCUCAAAACUGUCCAAAACAAUUCCCCCCCCCCCCCCAAAAAAAUAUGACUUGACUUUAUUAUUACCGCUGUUUU
Long non-coding RNA from Phyllopteryx taeniolatus (common seadragon), 578 nucleotides. RefSeq lists it as uncharacterized. The transcript has 3 exons. The record is from RefSeq and is a predicted model, not a curated record. Lineage: Eukaryota; Metazoa; Chordata; Actinopteri; Syngnathiformes; Syngnathidae.